CCUACGGGUGGCAGCAGUGGGGAAUAUUGCUCAAUGGGCGGAACCCUGAUCCAGCGACGUCGCGUGAGUGAAGAAGUCUCUCGGUAUUUUAAGCUCUAUCUGUAGGGAAGAAAAUGACGUUACCUGACUUAGUAGCUCCGUCGAACGUCGUGCCAGCAGCCGUGGUAAUACGCAGGGGGCAAGCGUUAUCCGGAUUUACUGGGCGUAAAGGGAGCGCAGACGGCUGUGCAGGUCUGGAGUGAAAGGCGGGGGCCCAACCCCCGGACUGCGCUGGAAACUGUAAAGCUGGAGUGCAGGAGAGGUAAGCGGAAUUCCUGGUGUAGCGGUGAAAUGCGUAGAUAUUAGGAAGAACACCGAUUGCGAAGGCGGCUUACUGGAGUGCAACUGACGUUGAGGCUCGAAAGCGUGGGGAGCGAACAGGAUUAGAUACCCGAGUAGUC
Molecule: ribosomal RNA, 440 nt
Filed under: uncultured bacterium
Lineage: Bacteria
Description: partial 16S ribosomal RNA
Rfam family: Bacterial small subunit ribosomal RNA
Source: RNAcentral